UUAGACCACCUAAUUUAUCAAUUUAAUUUACCAUUACAGUUUUAGAUUUGCAUAAAACAUAAUGUUGUUGAGUCUCUAGUCACCGCCAGAAAAGCUUUUGUUUACUAAAUCUCUUUUGGUUUGGAGUUGGUAGUCAAAUUUCAAAUCAACUGGGGUUUCAAACGAUAUUUGUCUUUGGAGCAAAUUCAUCUCAAAUGAAAUCUGAAAUGGUAUAAAUGUCUUGCCGGACAUCUUUUGGCUUUGGUGCCAACCUCCUCUGCUGCAGGUGUUCGGUCAGUCAUUUGGAGGUUUGUGGGUGCAACUUAAUUGCUGAUUGAAGACGGUUUGGUCAGUCAAUUUAAUUGGCAAAUUUGACUGAUGAUACACAUUUGUCAAGCUCUCGUAAUGACUUUCUAUUGGGGAUACUACCCUUGGCUCAAAACAGUUGCAACAAGAACUAGAUGAUUGAAGGGAGUGCUGACCCAGCAUUUGGUGAGGGGAUUACAGAAGCAUCAAAUGAACAUCACCAAAUACAAUACACUAAAGAAACAGCACCGUGUAAGUGUUCCUAACAGUCUGUAUGGUGGAAAUGAUCAACAUUCCUAUAGUUCUCCUAACGGAGGAUGAUAUGGCAGUCCUGUGACUCCUGUCCCGUAUCAACUACCAAAUACAUUCCUUCGGACUGCCCGAUAUCAACCCCCAAAUACAUUCCUUCCAUGCAUGCUCCCUUCCCAGGGAAAAAAUGCAGAGCUAUAUCAGGCUUGCAGUAACAGUAAAUAUUGAAGGAAAAUUUUGAGGAGCUUAGACUUUUGGAGGUUCCUUAGUAGCCUUGUGAGAACCCACUUGGUAACAUACCCAAAUGUAGCACUGCUAGAUACAAUAUGUCCUCACAGAACCAGUUUAUGACUAGCUUUAUAAAAUUGUUUUCUUUCUGCGAAUCUUUCUUUACACAUCUUUGUUGAGAUGUUUUUAUGAUACUUCCAAUCGUCGAUACUCAAUAAGUUGACCAACUGCACUUUACCAUUUUUUCACAGCCCUCGGCAAACUUUGGGACAUGUUGAUUCUGCAAUUUAUGGUAAACCAAGCAGCAGUCUUGCCCGUCAUCAGCUUCAUUAGGAGAGUCGGAUCUCAAAUGGAUGCAUCUCUACAGUUUCUUUCAUGAGUUUAUUUUACUUACUGUUUGUAGUUUCUUUGCCAUUUUAGAUUUGAGGGAAGUAUCAAAUGUAUGGAGAUUCUGUUUUGGGAAAGUAUGGAUAGAAACCAAAUGUGCGGGAUGUGGUGAAAGUAGGAACAGUUUUGACUGGUUAUUACAUUUUGGUUGUUGUUUGCAUAUUAUUCAGUUUCUUCACGGAAGUAUUUAUCUUCUAAUGAGAAUUACCAUAUGGACCUAUCUUUUGUGGGAAUAGAUGACUGAACAGUAAAACAGAAUAAUCCCUGCACGGUAUAUAUAAACUACUGUUCUUUGUAGUUGGAUACAUCUGUGUCAAGCUUCUUUAUCUUAUUUAACUUGUUCCGAUUUAGCUUUUCGCUUCCGCCUUAAUAAGCUUUAUUUGUGUAAUUGACCAUUGAGUUGUAUUGCAGCCUUUACUCCCAUCUUUUCUAUUCAGAGCCUGGGAAUGGCCUGUGGAAGUGCAAAGCUGACACUGCUUUCCAGCAUUGCACGACAAUAAAGUCAUUUUUUGAGGAAACCCUCAUGGCGAUUCCCGACUCUGUCUUGGAUUCACCAGUUGGAGAGAUGCCAGUUUGUCAAUAUGAGCUUUUUGCAGAUAUACAUAGUUUGUUACCCCCUCCAUAUGAAGUGAGAGAACAGGAGUUGCUGUAUGCUUAAUUUCUAUAUCUACUUGUGUCCGUCUCUUUUGAACGAGACCUAAUUCGUCUCGUCUAACAUGUGUCAAUUAAUUCAUCUGUGGAUAUACAAUCACAAUUAUGUUACCUAUAUCAGCAUAUUUGAGGGACUUCCAUUUGAAUGUUUAUUUGCAAAAUGCCUUUGGGUUGGGAUUAUAACAGUGUACUGAAGAAGAAAAAUAUAAACGUGCAAAUGCAGUGCAUGUGUCUUGUAUCUUGUGAGGCUUAGACAGUGGCUAUUGUGAUUUAUCA
Carya illinoinensis is the source of this 2076-nucleotide long non-coding RNA. RefSeq lists it as uncharacterized. Lineage: Eukaryota; Viridiplantae; Streptophyta; Magnoliopsida; Fagales; Juglandaceae. The record is from RefSeq and is a predicted model, not a curated record. The transcript is spliced from 5 exons.